This 498-nucleotide ribosomal RNA is filed under the name uncultured bacterium. Its description in RNAcentral is "partial 16S ribosomal RNA". It matches the Rfam family "Bacterial small subunit ribosomal RNA", at positions 30 to 523 of the family's 1533-position model. The record is from RNAcentral.
AUUGAACGCUGGCGGCAUGCCUUACACAUGCAAGUCGAACGGUAACAGGUCUUCGGAUGCUGACGAGUGGCGAACGGGUGAGUAAUGCAUCGGAACGUGCCCAGUAGUGGGGGAUAGCCCGGCGAAAGCCGGAUUAAUACCGCAUACGACCUGAGGGUGAAAGGGGGGGAUCGCAAGACCUCUCGCUAUUGGAGCGGCCGAUGUCAGAUUGGCUAGUUGGUGGGGUAAAGGCCUACCAAGGCAACGAUCUGUAGUUGGUCUGAGAGGACGACCAGCCAAACUGGGACUGAGACACGGCCCAGACUCCUACGGGAGGCAGCAGUGGGGAAUUUUGGACAAUGGGCGCAAGCCUGAUCCAGCAAUGCCGCGUGCAGGAAGAAGGCCUUCGGGUUGUAAACUGCUUUUGUCAGGGAAGAAAUCUUCUGGGUUAAUACCUCGGGAGGAUGACGGUACCUGAAGAAUAAGCACCGGCUAACUACGUGCCAGCAGCCGCCGUAA